RNAcentral lists this ribosomal RNA (406 nucleotides) under Planctomycetaceae bacterium. RNAcentral's name for it is "bacterial SSU rRNA". It matches the Rfam family "Bacterial small subunit ribosomal RNA", at positions 1126 to 1533 of the family's 1533-position model. The record is from RNAcentral. Lineage: Bacteria; Pseudomonadati; Planctomycetota; Planctomycetia; Planctomycetales; Planctomycetaceae.
UCAUGUCGGGGACUCUAGGGAGACUGCCGGUGUUAAACCGGAGGAAGGUGGGGAUGACGUCAAGUCCUCAUGGCCUUUAUGAUCAGGGCUGCACACGUCCUACAAUGGCGCGUACAAAGGGAAGCGAACUCGCGAGAGCAAGCAAAUCCCAAAAAGUGCGCCUUAGUUCGGAUUGCAGGCUGAAACCCGCCUGCAUGAAGUUGGAAUCGCUAGUAAUCGCGGGUCAGCAUACCGCGGUGAAUGUGUUCCUGAGCCUUGUACACACCGCCCGUCAAGCCACGAAAGUGGGGGGCACCCGAAGUCGUUGCGCUAUAAUGGCAGACGCCGAAGGUGAACUCCGCGAUUGGGACUAAGUCGUAACAAGGUAGCCGUAGGGGAACCUGCGGCUGGAUCACCUCCUUUCUAA